CAAAAUUCAAAUAUGAAAAAUGCUUUCUGAGAUAAAAAUCGUGGAGAUUCCUAAUAAAAUUAUUUUAUGUGAUAUACAGAGAUAUGUUGAUUUACUAACAAAUAACCAAUAAUUUUUCUAUUCUCUACCAUUUGGUAAAAUAGUAUUUAUAAAGGGGUUAUUUGUGAAAUAACCAAAAAAAAAAGGGGAAAUUAGUUUUGUAGAGAGAAGUUACUUCAUAUUAGGAGUCAUGUAACUAUAACUAUACGUCUACCAAAAUUAAAGUUACUUCAUAUUAGGAGUCAUGUAGUUGAGAAGAUAAAAAGAAUCAAAAAUUUUGAAAGCUUGACAUAAAACAUCAUAUAGUACAAAACGUUUUUGAGUUGUUUGUCAUGUUUGUAUUGUCCUUCCCUUUUGCUUUUACUUUUUCAGUUGAUAUACGAAUGGAGAAUGGAUAUUCUCUUGAAGUUGCCCAAGUCCAGAUUCAUCUGAGUGCAUCG
RNAcentral lists this long non-coding RNA (479 nucleotides) under Brassica napus (rape). Its description in RNAcentral is "long non-coding RNA (BNAP_LNC026272)". The record is from RNAcentral. Lineage: Eukaryota; Viridiplantae; Streptophyta; Magnoliopsida; Brassicales; Brassicaceae.